This 372-nucleotide ribosomal RNA is filed under the name uncultured organism. Its description in RNAcentral is "bacterial SSU rRNA". It matches the Rfam family "Bacterial small subunit ribosomal RNA", at positions 526 to 896 of the family's 1533-position model. The record is from RNAcentral.
CAGAGGUCCCAAGCGUUGUUCGGAUUCACUGGGCGUAAAGGGUGCGCAGGUGGGUUUGCAAGUUUGAUGUGAAAGCCCCGGGCUUAACCCGGGAAUGGCAUUGAAUACUGCAGAUCUGGAGGAUUGGAGGGGGGACUGGAAUUCUUGGUGUAGCAGUGAAAUGCGUAGAUAUCAAGAGGAACACCAGUGGCGAAGGCGAGUCCCUGGACAAUACCUGACACUGAGGCACGAAAGCUAGGGGAGCAAACAGGAUUAGAUACCCUGGUAGUCCUAGCUGUAAACGGUGCGCAUUUGCUGUAAACGGAAUCGACCCCGUUUGUGGCGAAGCUAACGCGAUAAAUGCGCCGCCUGGGAAGUACGGUCGCAAGAUUA